AAGAGCAUCGGGUGGAUGCCUUGGCGUCGGAAGGCGAAGAAAGACGUGGUAAGCUGCGAUAAGCCUCGGGGAGAAGCUAAACAUUCUGCGAUCCGGGGAUGUCUGAAUGGGGAAACCCGGCGGGAGUCAUGUCCCGUCAUCCGCAAGUGAAUACAUAGCUUGCAGGAAGCCAACUCAGGGAAGUGAAACAUCUCAGUACCUGAAGGAAAGGAAAUCAAACGAGACUCCCUCAGUAGCGGCGAGCGAAGGGGGAAGAGCCUAAACCGGUUGGAUUCGUCCAGCCGGGGUUGUAGGGCCGGCAUAGGUGAUUCAUGAGUAGGCAGGGGAAGGAAGCUGGAAAGCUUUGCCAAAGCGGGUGACAGCCCCGUACCCGAACCUGAAAGUGACACAGCCGGUACCUGAGUACCGCGGGGCACGUGAAACCCCGUGGGAAUCCGGGAGGACCAUCUUCCAAGGCUAAGUACUAACCGACGACCGAUAGUGCACCAGUACCGUGAGGGAAAGGUGAAAAGAACCCCUGUCAGGGGAGUGAAAUAGAAUCUGAAACCUGAUGCUUACAAGCUGUGGGAGCCGUGCUUGCAUGGUGACCACGUGCCUUUUGCAUGAGUCAGCGAGUUAAUCUGUACUGCGAGGUUAAGCGUAAGUGGAGCCGUAGCGAAAGCGAGUCUGAUAAGGGCGAUAGUAGUGCGGAUUAGACCCGAAACCGGGUGAUCUAUCCAUGAGCAGGUUGAAGCACGGGUAAAACCUUGUGGAGGACCGAACCCAUACCGGCUGAAAACGGUUGGGAUGACUUGUGGAUAGGGGUGAAAGGCCAAUCAAACCCGGUGAUAGCUGGUUCUCCCCGAAAUAUAUUGAGGUAUAGCCUCGUGGAUUGUCUACCGGAGGUAAAGCACUGACAGAGCUAGGGGUCCUACCAGAUUACCAAACUCUUUCAAACUCAGAAUGCCGGUCAGAUGUACCACGGGAGUCAGACAGUGGGUGCUAAGGUCCAUUGUCGAGAGGGUAAGAGCCCAGAUCAACAGCUAAGGCCUCCAAAUGCAUGCUCAGUGGUUAAGGUGGUGACGUUGUAGAGACACCCAGGACGUUGGCUUAGAAGCAGCCAUCGUUUAAAGAAAGCGUAAUAGCUCACUGGUCUAAUGACGUUGCGCCGAAAAUGUAACGGGGCUAAGCAUGCUGCCGAAGCUUUGAAUUCCGCGUAUGCGGUCUGGUAGGGGAGCGUUCUUCAUGGGCUGAAGGUGUGUUGUAAAGCAUGCUGGACUGUGGAGAAGUGAUUAUGCUGACAUGAGUAACGAUAAAACGGGUGAAAAACCCGUUCGCCGUAAACCCAAGGUUUCCUGGGUAAAGGUAAUCUUCCCAGGGUUAGUCGGCCCCUAAGGCAAGGCUGAAAGGCGUAGCUGAUGGGAAACGUGUUAAUAUUCACGUACUUGUGUGUUCGCGCGAAGGAGGGACGCAGGAAGAUAGGCGAUCCGGGUGUUGGAUUACCCGGUGCAAGCGAGUAGGCAUGGGAAGCAGGCAAAUCCGUUUCCCUGUAUGCUGAGACGCGAGUCCGUGGGCGUAAGCCCUGAAGUCGCUGAGUCUAUGCUGCCAAGAAAAGCUUCUAAGUUUAGAACACGCAAACCGUACCGGAAACCAACUCAGGUGGGUGGGAUGAAUAAUCCAAGGCGCUCGAGAGAACUCUGGCCAAGGAACUCGGCAAAAUAACCCCGUACCUUCGGAAGAAGGGGUGCUCCUUUAGGUGAAGCGAUUCACUUGUUGAGCCUGAGGGAGCCGCAGAGAAAUGGUGGUGGCGACUGUUUACUAAAAACAUAGGUCUGUGCGAAGUCGUAAAGACGACGUAUACGGACUGACGCCUGCCCGGUGCCGGAAGGUUAAAAGGAGGGGUCAGCGCAAGCGAAGCUCCGAAUUGAAGCCCCGGUAAACGGCGGCCGUAACAAUAACGGUCCUAAGGUAGCGAAAUUCCUUGUCGGGU
Molecule: ribosomal RNA, 1969 nt
Filed under: human gut metagenome
Description: bacterial LSU rRNA
Rfam family: Bacterial large subunit ribosomal RNA
Source: RNAcentral